UGAUUUGUUUUGAAUUUCAGCUUGUAGAGUGUAUGUGUGAGGUUGACAAAAAUAUUAUUGUGCAAUAGAAGUUACAGUCCACUGAUGCCGAUAUUUUCCACAGUUUAAGGAAUUAAUAUCUUUUCUGGUUGUGCCGAAAGUGGAUUCACGUCAUGAAUUUUAAAUAAAACGUAUAUUUUUUUAUUCCAAUCGAUAGAACAUGAAACUCUCUUUCAGAAGAUACACCUCUUUCCUCGGCAAAACUUCCAAAACCAAAAUUUUCCACCAGCUCACAUACAUUUUUCACAUGUAUUUUUGAAAUGACUUAUAGAAAAAGAGAUGAACUAUGAUAUUGAAGUUGAAAAAAUACCAUUUUCAAUAAGAUUUUAGAGAAAAUUGAAGUGGAUGUGGCAGUUCAUAUUCUUGAAGUCUUUGUCGAAAACUUGUUAAACCUCGAUUUUGUUCCAAACGCCACCAAAUUGUUUGACGUAGAUGACGUAAUGGCACCGUCACAUUGAAUUUUGGAAAAUAAGUCUGUGUCAACAUUUUGACAAGAGAAUUUCAUGUUCCAUUGAAUGGUGUAGAAUCUAACCUAACCUAAACAGGGUUUGAUUUAAAAAUCGUGACAAAAUUUCUUGUUAACUGGAAAAAAUAUUUAAUUGCUUCAUUGUUGAAAAUCUCUCCCAAGAUAAGGCAAACCGCGAAAUAAAAUGAGCAUGCUGAAGCAGAAAUACAUGAUACAGAAAUAAUGAAACUGAAAUAAAUACAAACUGAAUAUGGAGUUUUUUGAACACGAAUCUUGGACAAAUAUUAAUCAUUAAAGUUUAAAAAAAUUAA
This is a long non-coding RNA of Leptinotarsa decemlineata (Colorado potato beetle), 816 nucleotides long. NCBI's taxonomy places the organism in Eukaryota, Metazoa, Arthropoda, Insecta, Coleoptera, Chrysomelidae. The record is from RefSeq and is a predicted model, not a curated record.